UACGUAGGGGGCUAGCGUUGUCCGGAUUUAUUGGGCGUAAAGAGCGUGUAGGCGGCCUGGUAGGUCUGCUGUGAAAACUCGAGGCUCAACCUCGAGAUGUCGGCGGAAACCAUCUGGCUAGAGUCCGGAAGAGGAGAGUGGAAUUCUUGGUGUAGCGGUGAAAUGCGCAGAUAUCAGGAAGAACACCUAUGGCGAAGGCGGAUCUCUGGGCCAUUACUGACGCUGAGGAGCGAAAGCGUGGGGAGCGAACAGG
Molecule: ribosomal RNA, 253 nt
Filed under: uncultured bacterium
Lineage: Bacteria
Description: partial 16S ribosomal RNA
Rfam family: Bacterial small subunit ribosomal RNA
Source: RNAcentral